Molecule: ribosomal RNA, 119 nt
Filed under: Pteropus alecto (black flying fox)
Lineage: Eukaryota; Metazoa; Chordata; Mammalia; Chiroptera; Pteropodidae
Source: RNAcentral
AUCUACAGCCAUGCUACCCUGAACACGCCUGAUCCCAUCUGAUCUCGGAAGCUAAGCAGGGUUGGGCCUGGUUAGUACUUGGAUGAGAGACCACCUAGAAAGACCAGGUGCUGUAGGCA